GAUGAACGCUAGCUACAGGCUUAACACAUGCAAGUCGAGGGGAAACGACAUUGAAGCUUGCUUCGAUGGGCGUCGACCGGCGCACGGGUGAGUAACGCGUAUCCAACCUGCCUCUGACUAAGGGAUAACCCGGCGAAAGUCGGACUAAUACCUUAUGAGGUUUUCUGCAGACAUCUAACGAAAACGAAAGAUUUAUCGGUCAGCGAUGGGGAUGCGUCUGAUUAGCUUGUUGACGGGGUAACGGCCCACCAAGGCGACGAUCAGUAGGGGUUCUGAGAGGAAGGUCCCCCACAUUGGAACUGAGACACGGUCCAAACUCCUACGGGAGGCAGCAGUGAGGAAUAUUGGUCAAUGGGCGAGAGCCUGAACCAGCCAAGUAGCGUGCAGGAAGACGGCCCUAUGGGUUGUAAAACUCUGUGAUCCGGGACGAAAAGGCAGACUGCGAAAAACAGACAGCAUUGACGGUACCGGAAAAGCAAGCCACGGCUAACUACGUGCCAGCAGCCGCGGUAAUACGUAGGUGGCAAGCGUUGUCCGGAAUUAUUGGGCGUAAAGCGCGCGCAGGCGGCUUCCCAAGUCCCUCUUAAAAGUGCGGGGCUUAACCCCGUGAUGGGAAGGAAACUGGGAAGCUGGAGUAUCGGAGAGGAAAGUGGAAUUCCUAGUGUAGCGGUGAAAUGCGUAGAGAUUAGGAAGAACACCGGUGGCGAAGGCGACUUUCUGGACGAAAACUGACGCUGAGGCGCGAAAGCGUGGGGAGCAAACAGG
RNAcentral lists this ribosomal RNA (765 nucleotides) under uncultured Bacteroidales bacterium. Its description in RNAcentral is "bacterial SSU rRNA". It matches the Rfam family "Bacterial small subunit ribosomal RNA", at positions 28 to 776 of the family's 1533-position model. Lineage: Bacteria; Pseudomonadati; Bacteroidota; Bacteroidia; Bacteroidales. The record is from RNAcentral.